Molecule: long non-coding RNA, 1404 nt
Organism: Chelonia mydas (Green sea turtle)
Lineage: Eukaryota; Metazoa; Chordata; Testudines; Cheloniidae
Exons: 3
Source: RefSeq, a predicted model, not a curated record
GGGAGGCUGCAAGGGGCUAGCCAAUCAGUGGGUUUCAGGCUAGUAUAAAAGAAGCCACAGCGCAGCCCAGAGUUAGUCAGCUCAGUGCUACUGGGAGUGAGAGUAAGCUCCUGGCUGGCUGCUGGGCCUGAAUGUAGAACACCCCUGAGCUGCCUGAAACAAAUCCUUAGUAUCAGAUGGCCAGAAAAAUCACAAAUGAAGCGCUUUGGAGGAGGAUGGAACAGAAACAAACAGGAGAAGAAAUUAUGGAAUGAAAAUGGAGUUGGCCAGAAUACACAUGGAGGAAAGAUCUGAAGACCAUAACAAGACGAGCAUUAGACUGAAAUCCUCAGGGUUAGAGGGGCCAAGGUUGACCAAGGGCAACAUGGAAACACACAACUGAAGCAGAAUUAAAAGCUAAGAUUGCAGCAAGAGCUCAUUGAAGAGGGAAGGCACUAGUGAAGGCCUUGUGCUCUGUAUGGAAUAAAGAAGGAUGCAGCCAUGUGUUCCAUGUAGGUGAUUCACAAGCAGGACCCACAGGAGGUGGGGCUCAGAGUCUAUUUAAACAAGGAUUGCAGGAUUGCCUUCCCAACAUUUGCAUCUCAGCGGGAUGCCGUGGCAAUGGUAUUGUUCAUAACCAUGUACAGAGCACCAAGUGGCUGCCUUGCAAAUGUUCAAAAUGGGAACCAACUUCUGCUGGUGCGAGAGACAAGCCGUGAAACUUACACUGACAGGGAUGGAGCAGGGCCACCUUUAUAUGGCCAGGGGAGGGGCUAAGACCACAAGUGCCGCCCUUAUGGGGUACUGCGAGACAAAAGUUCUCUGGCUCCAGCAUGCUGGGCUCCUACACGCACACCUACCAGGAAUCUGCAUCUACUCAAAGAAGAAAUUGUCUCCUCUAAGGUUGAGAUUUUAAUUGUGUGGGUCUAGAUUGUGGCUUUUAUGACAUAGCCCUGUGAAAGGAGCAGUGCACAGCCCCACCAUGUGCAGAGGAGCACUAGGGGAUUGUGCAUUAGAGAUGCAAAAAUCUCUCCCAGGGCUGUUCCCUGUCCCAAGAGGAUGAGUAAUCUGUUCCAUCCAUUAAAAUGGAGUUCAUUGCCUCCCUGGGAUGCCAGCCCCAUUAAAACCUUAAUCAGUGCCUCUCCAUAAUUAAAUUUUUCAUUUUUGUGCUUUAACCCAUCUGAUUACAUCAAGAUGAUUUUUACAAAGUUCCUGAAAAGCAGCGAUCAUUAAUAUAAAUAAACUGUCUACUACUGUGAAUGAGUGUCCAUCGUUAUGGUUGACAAUAAUCCCGGUGGUUGCACAUUCUUCCAUGCACCUACCAUUAGAGUAGCACUAAACACUGAUGUCACGGAGAUGAGUGCUGCAUACCCACAUGUGCUUCAUGUGCAUGCACCUGCUGCUCUGGUAUCAUCACGAGUGACA